UGGGGAAUAUUGGACAAUGGGGGAAACCCUGAUCCAGCCAUGCCGCGUGUGUGAAGAAGGCCUUCGGGUUGUAAAGCACUUUCAGUGGGGAGGAAGGCUUGAUGGUUAAUACCCAUCAGGAUUGACGUUACCCACAGAAGAAGCACCGGCUAACUCCGUGCCAGCAGCCGCGGUAAUACGGAGGGUGCGAGCGUUAAUCGGAAUUACUGGGCGUAAAGCGCGCGUAGGCGGUUUGUUAAGCCAGAUGUGAAAGCCCCGGGCUCAACCUGGGAACUGCAUUUGGUACUGGCAGGCUAGAGUACGGUAGAGGGUGGUGGAAUUUCCAGUGUAGCGGUGAAAUGCGUAGAGAUUGGAAGGAACAUCAGUGGCGAAGGCGGCCACCUGGACUGAUACUGACGCUGAGGUGCGAAAGCGUGGGGAGCAAACAGG
This 429-nucleotide ribosomal RNA is filed under the name uncultured Oleiphilaceae bacterium. RNAcentral describes it as "bacterial SSU rRNA". It matches the Rfam family "Bacterial small subunit ribosomal RNA", at positions 355 to 776 of the family's 1533-position model. The record is from RNAcentral. Lineage: Bacteria; Pseudomonadati; Pseudomonadota; Gammaproteobacteria; Oceanospirillales; Oleiphilaceae.